GGUGGGAGCGUGUGACAAAAGACCAAAAUGAGUGACUGUCACACUCAAUGCGUGACACUUAAGAGCCCUGGAGGACAUAUUCCAUCAACAUUUUGUCUUUCUUGCUUAUUUUGCUAACAGUGAUAACUGAGCAGAAUAACAGGGUUGAUAGGAUGGAAUAACAGGUUUUGGAACAGAAGCCAUAAGUUUAAGUGUAGAAAUAGACAAUAUAUUCGUGAAUAAACCCCUUGAAAUUUUCUGCUGACCCAUAACGUUUUUGGGGUAAGGCAAAUCUCACUGAUUCAGCUCUGGAAGUGGAGAGGAGAUUGGAUGUAUUGUGUUAACCCUCUGGGGUCGAAAGACGCACCGUGCGUCUUUGGCACAUUUUUUCCUCUUCGACGUGAAGUCCACUUAAAAUACUCCGUCAUUCAUAGUCAUACACAUACAUGUAAUACAUCAAUCGAAACUGUGAAGUGUCUACUUUUAUUUGAGUGCCUUCAUAUUAACAACAAAACGCUGUGCUUUUGGCAAAUAAAGAAAAUAACCAGGUUGUGCAUUCAGACAUCUCCGUGAACUUGCCCUUCUUCCUGAAACACGUUACAAACAUGAACUGAUAACUCCGCCAGUACUUAUCACACGAACAUGAUACAUAUGUUUAAUGAAAGCCUGAAAUGUCUACUUUUAAAUGAGGUAAUUAAAAUCGAAAGCAAAUAUUGUCUUUUUGUGUAAUCUGUAUGUAAGUAAAGAGAGGUACAGUUUUUCUGGCUCGACCUCAUUACCACUAAUGUGAUCCCACCUACCGCCGUGCGCGCCAUUCAUAUGAAAAUUACCUGAGCGGGCUAUGCAAAUAAGAUCAACGCCCCCAAACAAUGUAAGAAGCACAAAGUUUUAACAGAUUAAACAGAUGAAGAUGAAGAGCAGGACUCCGACGACGAACGUUUGUAUUUUGAAGAGCGACUUGAUCCGCGAGCGAGGAUAUAAUUUCUGAAGAGAAUGUGGCUGCAUCACUCUUGUCUUCACCUGCACCGGCUGCAACACUUUCACCUUCGUUUGAUGCUCGCACGGGGGCACGCAGCAACGAGAACAAUAAGGAGAAUGUGGCUGCAACACGUUCACCUUCGUCUGAUACUCGCACGAGGGCACGCAGCAACGCGAGCGACAUUCAUCCAGUGAAUGUGGCUGCAACACGUUCACCUUCGUCUGAUACUCGCACGAGGGCAUGCAGCAACGCAACUGGGAACAAAAAAGAGAAUGUGUCUGCAUCACCUUUACCUUUACCAUCACCUGCUACUCACACAUGCCGUAGGUCUUCUUUCAGUUCAAAGCAACUGAGACUAAUGUGUGUUCAGUUAAAUAGGAACUGUUUUGAGCAAUGGCAUGACGACAUUUAAACUCCAUUCUCAAAGAUUCACAGUGUGUGAUGGCUUACAAAUUUAUAUCUUAUUUUUUAUAUUGUAAAGA
Long non-coding RNA from Tachysurus vachellii, 1440 nucleotides. RefSeq lists it as uncharacterized. The transcript is spliced from 5 exons. Lineage: Eukaryota; Metazoa; Chordata; Actinopteri; Siluriformes; Bagridae. The record is from RefSeq and is a predicted model, not a curated record.